Molecule: ribosomal RNA, 722 nt
Filed under: uncultured Glomeromycotina
Lineage: Eukaryota; Fungi; Glomeromycota
Description: SSU rRNA
Rfam family: Eukaryotic small subunit ribosomal RNA
Source: RNAcentral
GGGCACGACACCGGAGAGGGAGCCUGAGAAACGGCUACCACAUCCAAGGAUGGCAGCAGGCGCGCAAAUUACCCAAUCCCGACACGGGGAGGUAGUGACAAUAAAUAACAAUACGGGGUUCUUUAGGAUCUCGUAAUUGAAAUGAGUACAAUUUAAAUCUCUUAACGAGGAACAAUUGGAGGGCAAGUCUGGUGCCAGCAGCCGCGGUAAUUCCAGCUCCAAUAGCGUAUAUUAAAGUUGUUGCAGUUAAAAAGCUCGUAGUUGAAUUUCGGGGUUAGUAGGUUGGUCAUGCCUCUGGUAUGUACUGGUCUCACUGAUUCCUCCUUCCUUAUGAACCGUAAUGCCAUUAAUUUGGUGUUGCGGGGAAUUUGGACUGUUACUUUGAAAAAAUUAGAGUGUUUAAAGCAAGCUAACGCUUGAAUACAUUAGCAUGGAAUAAUGAAAUAGGACGUUCGAUCUUAUUUUGUUGGUUUCUAGGAUUGACGUAAUGAUUAAUAGGGAUAGUUGGGGGCAUUAGUAUUCAAUUGUCAGAGGUGAAAUUCUUGGAUUUAUUGAAGACUAACUACUGCGAAAGCAUUUGCCAAGGAUGUUUUCAUUAAUCAAGAACGAAAGUUAGGGGAUCGAAGACGAUCAGAUACCGUCGUAGUCUUAACCAUAAACUAUGCCGACUAGGGAUCGGAUGAUGUUAAUUUUUUAAUGACUCAUUCGGCGCCUUACGGGAA